Molecule: microRNA, 27 nt
Filed under: Alligator mississippiensis (American alligator)
Lineage: Eukaryota; Metazoa; Chordata; Crocodylia; Alligatoridae
Description: Ami-Mir-34-P3a_5p (mature (guide))
Source: RNAcentral
UUGGCAGUGCAUUGCUAGCUGGCUGUU